UCUUCUCGUGAAAUCUCCAAACAAACAUAUUCCUGCUUCUCGCCUCUCGCUGCUCUCUACUCACAAACCACUGUGCGCUUGCUGCUCGUUAUUCACCGUCGUUGGCCUUCCACCACCGGUUGCUCGACUGUCUUGUACUUAGAUUGUCUUUCUCGUUAAGCCGCCAUUUAAUCCUCCAACAGAGAUGAAGAUGAAAUUCAUAAUCUUCAUCGCCUAAGCCUUCAUCUGGAUUGAAAUCAUCGGUUUGGGACUACCGUCGACACCCUUUCAUCAUCUCUGUUGCGAAACUGAUGGAGUAAAGCCACCGCGUCGGAGUUUCUCAUAUCUCUAUGAACAGAUUCUACUUGUGGUAAAAUUCCUUCUCUUACUGCUCCUGAAGGCAUUUCUAUUAGAAGGUUUGUUCUUACAGUGAAGUCCUCAAAGACAAGACAAUGCAGUUAUAAUGCUAAUGAUAAUGCCAUGCUUAAUACUAAUUCACGUAAAGACUUUCUUGGAUUAGCAUUAGGAGGAGCCUAUACACUUUUCAUCCAUUCAUUUGAUGCUGCCAAUGGAGCUGGUUUGCCACCAGAAGAAAAACCUAAACUAUGUGACAACACUUGUGAGAAAGAGCUUGAAAAUGUAUGGUGAAAUUACAUUACAUAGAGCUUGAAACUACCCUUCUUCAUGUUGAAAUUCCCCUGUUAUUAGUUGCUCUUGCUAAGCUUCAUAAUACCCCUUUUCAUUUUUUUCUAUACUAAAGAUGUUGUAUGUGUUGGGAUAUAUAGCCUCUGUCAAAGUUGAUUUCAUAGCAGGAACAAAAAUUAUAUCAUGCCUGGAAGCUACUAGGAAUCUUGUAAUCAAGUUUAAUCAGAACUGUUGUGGGGCAACAAAUGUCUCCUGAUGUCACAUUCUUCUUCAUCACGUGGACUGAGUUCUCUUUCUCCUUCAGUUUAUAGCCUGACAUUGUUGCUCGUGGGGUUAAUAUUCUGGCUGCCUUGUCACCUGCUUAUUCUAGCCUAAAAUCUUAUUCAAGUCAAGAUGUGUAUCUGCUAUUAACUUCACAAUUGAAUCAGUAACUUCAACGCCAUGCCCCCACAUAUCUGAUAUUGUCGCAUUUGCUGCAAAGACUAUCUACCCAACUUAGAGCCCCGCCGCAAUUAAAUCUUCCCUUGUCACAGUAGCUGCUCUAAAAAACGAAUGCAGUCAAUACAUUGGAGCCAAGGGAGUAUGUACAAACAAGAUGGUCCAUUUGAUAAUUGUCAAUAAUUGUCAAUUAUAGCCUCUAGACUUGCCUCACUUAAGGUAUAUACAAGUUAGGAAGUGUAUUAUUCCUAGUAAUUGUGGAAUUAAGUCAUGUUCUCCCCACUUCUAACUUCCUGCAAUCCAUUUUCAUGUUGAUUGGGUUAGAAUGUCUUGUACUGAAGCUUUUGUAUUCACAUGAUUUUUAUCAUGUAAUAAAAUAUUUUUAACUUAGCUCGCAUCUUUUUCCUUAUGUAGUCUUUACUCUUCAUGAGUUUUAAUUUAUUAUAAUAUAAUGGUAUAAUUUUGCUGAUAUAUUCUUUUAUUUUUGCUGUCGGGAUUUGUACUAAUUAGUUUUCUACAGUGACAAAUAGUUAGCUGUUGGGUUAGGCAUAGUUAAUUUCAACCUUAAUUUAGGUCUUACACUAUGAUUUGUUUCUAUCUAUGAUCUUUAGACAAUUAUUUGCAGUACCCUUUUUUUUACUUGUUAUAUAUGGUUAGACAUUUUGCAUAAUAUUUGAUAAGAUAAUAUUUGUAUUUCUAGGUCUUUAUAAAAAAUAAAAUUGAUAAGAUAAUAUUUGUAUUUCUAGGUCUUUAUAAAAAAUAAAAUUGAUAAGACAAUAUUUGUAUUUCUAGGUUUUUAUGAAAAAAAAAUUGCAUGAAAAUUUAACUUGUUAGGUCGGUUAAAUAUAUCCGAUUUAAGAUAUAAACUUCUUAAGUCGGGCACAAAUGGCAUAAGGGGUUCUGAAAGUCUAAACUUAUUAAGUCGGGUGCUAUUUAACCGACCUAACAACAUUUUCUUAAGUCAGGUCCAAAGCCGACUUAAGAAGUCAAAACUUCUUAUGUCGGCAAUUCUUAGGUCAGGUUCGGAACCGUCUUAAAAAGUCAUUCUUAACCGACUUAAAAAGUGUUUUUUCCACUAGUGUUUCAUUGGUUGAAUUGUUGUAGCAGAUAUUUGUUGGGAAUAUAGUCGUUGUGGAUUA
This is a long non-coding RNA of Vicia villosa (hairy vetch), 2201 nucleotides long. RefSeq lists it as uncharacterized. NCBI's taxonomy places the organism in Eukaryota, Viridiplantae, Streptophyta, Magnoliopsida, Fabales, Fabaceae. The transcript has 7 exons. The record is from RefSeq and is a predicted model, not a curated record.